This 468-nucleotide ribosomal RNA is filed under the name uncultured bacterium. RNAcentral describes it as "partial 16S ribosomal RNA". It matches the Rfam family "Bacterial small subunit ribosomal RNA", at positions 28 to 507 of the family's 1533-position model. The record is from RNAcentral.
GACGAACGCUGGCGGCGUGCUUAACACAUGCAAGUCGAACGGAAAGGCCCUGCUUUUGUGGGGUGCUCGAGUGGCGAACGGGUGAGUAACACGUGAGUAACCUGCCCUUUACUUUGGGAUACCUUCAGUAAACUGGGGCUAAUACCGGAUAUGAGCUCCUGCUGCAUGGUGUGGGUUGUACAGUUUCGGCGUUUGGGGAUGGACUCGCGGCUUAUCAGCUUGUUGGUGGGGUAGUGGCUUACCAAGGCUUUGACGGGUAGCCGGACUGAGAGGGUGACCGGCCACAUUGGGACUGAGAAACGGCCAAGACGCAUACGGGAGGAAGCAGUGGGGAAUAUUGCAAAAUGGGCGGAAGGCUGAUGCAGCAACGCCGCGUGCGGGAUGACGGCCUUCGGGUUGGAAAGCGCUUGAGACUGUGAAGAAGAGUGAGUGACGGUAAUGGGUAAAGAAGCAACGGCUAACUACGUG